GUAGUCUCGCACAGAUGCAUAUCAAUAAGCGGAGGAAAAGAAACUAACAAGGAUUCCCUUAGUAACGGCGAGUGAAGCGGGAAGAGCUCAAAUUUGAAAUCUUCAAGGUUUUACCUUGACGAAUUGUAGUUUAAAGAAGUGUUUUCUGUUGAAGUUUUGGUAAAAGUUCUUUGGAAUAGGACAUCAUAGAGGGUGAGAAUCCCGUAUUUGACCAUUAUUUUCAGCUGUGUGAUACACUUUCAAAGAGUCGGAUUGUUUGGGAAUGCAGUCCAAAAUGGGUGGUAAAUUUCAUCUAAAGCUAAAUAUUGGCGAGAGACCGAUAGCGAACAAGUACCGUGAGGGAAAGAUGAAAAGAACUUUGAAAAGAGAGUUAAAUAGUACGUGAAAUUGUCAAAAGGGAAGCGUUUGACACCAGUGUUGUUUUCUCGAAAAUCAACCUCUUAAAGCGUUAGAUGCAUGUUUGUAUUAGACCUAAUCAGCUAUCUUGCAUUUCUAAUUUUCUUGCUAAUGUGCACUUUUCAGUUUAACAAGGUCAACAUCAGUUUCUUUUGUUACCGUAAAAAAGGUAAUGGAAGGUAGGCUCAUGCUCCGGUCGUGAAGUGUUUAUAGUCCUUUUGCCUAUGCAGUAGGAGAGACUGAGGUCUGCAGCGUAGAUCCUUCGGGGUUAGAUACAUUUGUGCUAAGUUAUAGCUUUUUAUAGACAACUUGUUGACUAUGAUUAGUCUUGUAGCUUACUCGCUUAUGCUAUUUUACCUACGCUUAGGAUGUUGAAGAUGUAGCACAUCAU
Molecule: ribosomal RNA, 787 nt
Filed under: uncultured Neocallimastigales
Lineage: Eukaryota; Fungi; Neocallimastigomycota; Neocallimastigomycetes; Neocallimastigales
Description: partial large subunit ribosomal RNA
Rfam family: Eukaryotic large subunit ribosomal RNA
Source: RNAcentral